This is a non-coding RNA of Lepisosteus oculatus (spotted gar), 672 nucleotides long. NCBI's taxonomy places the organism in Eukaryota, Metazoa, Chordata, Actinopteri, Semionotiformes, Lepisosteidae. The record is from RefSeq and is a predicted model, not a curated record.
UGUGUGCGUCUGUGUGUUUGUAUCUCUGUAGUGUGUCUAUGCAUCCCUGCAACGUUUGUGCGUGUGUCUUUCUCUUUGUGUGUGCCAUAAAAACCCACCUGUCUUUUUAACUUUUGUGUCAGUGUGUGUGUGCGCGGUUCAUUCCUCUUCCCAGGACACCGUUACUGAUUAACCCAGAGAGAGGGAGCGAGCAGGUCGAUCCAGCACUCAAAGUGACAAACGGGGCAGAAGGGACGCUUUUACCGAAACCCUGCCUCUCUCUUACACUCCUCUCAUUUGUCGUCGUUCAGUUUCUGUACAGAUUAUUAUUUAUUUAUCGGUUUUAAGAGUCGUGGUGUUUUAUCGAACACAGCGAGAUCACAGCAGUCCGAACCUCGGCCGUUCAGACAUCCGUUGGUCUGCGUUGACUUCUUUAUUAUUAUUAUUAUUAUUUUUAACUUUAGCAGUGGGAUGAGAGACCGUGGAAAGCUACGUUUUGUCAUCUCUUCAGAUCUCACGGGUGAAGGGAGGAGACGCGGAACGCCCAACACGCAGAAGCAGCCUGGGAAAGCAGGAUUUGGAAGGAAAACGCGUUUAAUUCACGUCCUAAAGGAAAAAAAAAAGAAAGAACUGGAGAUUGAAAACGGCAAAGCUACGUUUUACGGAUCACUUUCGGAAAUACAAAAAAAAAAA